GAGUUUGAUCCUGGCUCAGGAUGAACGCUAGCGGCAGGCCUAACACAUGCAAGUCGAACGGUAACAGGAAUUAGCUUGCUAAUUUGCUGACGAGUGGCGCACGGGUGCGUAACGCGUAUACAAUCUACCUUUUGCUGAGGGAUAGCCCAGAGAAAUUUGGAUUAAUACCUCAUAGUAUUAUUGAUAGGCAUCUAUUAAUAAUUAAAGGUUACGGCAAAAGAUGAGUAUGCGUCCCAUUAGCUAGUUGGCGAGGUAACGGCUCACCAAGGCAACGAUGGGUAGGGGUCCUGAGAGGGAGAUCCCCCACACUGGUACUGAGACACGGACCAGACUCCUACGGGAGGCAGCAGUGAGGAAUAUUGGACAAUGGGCGAGAGCCUGAUCCAGCCAUGCCGCGUGCAGGAAGACUGCCCUAUGGGUUGUAAACUGCUUUUAUACAGGAAGAAUAAGCCUUACGUGUAAGGUGAUGACGGUACUGUAAGAAUAAGGACCGGCUAACUCCGUGCCAGCAGCCGCGGUAAUACGGAGGGUCCGAGCGUUAUCCGGAAUUAUUGGGUUUAAAGGGUCCGUAGGCGGAUGAUUAAGUCAGGGGUGAAAGUUUGCAGCUCAACUGUAAAAUUGCCUUUGAUACUGGUUAUCUUGAGUUGUAUUGAAGUAGGCGGAAUAUGUAGUGUAGCGGUGAAAUGCAUAGAUAUUACAUAGAAC
RNAcentral lists this ribosomal RNA (705 nucleotides) under uncultured bacterium. RNAcentral describes it as "bacterial SSU rRNA". It matches the Rfam family "Bacterial small subunit ribosomal RNA", at positions 9 to 707 of the family's 1533-position model. The record is from RNAcentral.